RNAcentral lists this unclassified non-coding RNA (355 nucleotides) under uncultured Ascomycota. Its description in RNAcentral is "sequence contains ITS1". The stretch from base 1 to 105 matches the Rfam family "5.8S ribosomal RNA", at positions 50 to 154 of the family's 154-position model. The record is from RNAcentral. Lineage: Eukaryota; Fungi; Ascomycota.
GAAAUGCGAUAAGUAAUGUGAAUUGCAGAAUUCCGUGAAUCAUCGAAUCUUUGAACGCACAUUGCACUCCUUGGUAUUCCGGGGAGUAUGCCUGUUUGAGCGUCAGCAAUCCCUCAAUCCUCCAAGGGUAUUUAUUUAUUCUCUUGGGGUGUUUGGUUAUGGAGCGUGUGACUUAUACUCACUGCUUUGAAUUGCAUUGGCCAGAUCUUUUGAAUCGCACUUCAGUGUAUUAGGUUAUUCCAACUCGCUGAAACGUUUCUGUUUUGACUGGCUUAAAACAUGCCUCUUUAAGGGUAACCUUUUUGAGACUUUUGAUUUUGACCUCAAAUCAGGCAGGACUACGGGCUGAACUUAA